AUGCACCAUGCUGCUCCCUUGGAAGGCCGACUGAGCGACACGGCGGCGAAGGCGGCGAACGAGCUGCUGCCGUCUGGCGCUAGCGGCAACCUGAGCAGCCUCUGCUCCUGGGUUGACAAGGUUAGGUUCAGGUACCACUGGUCGGCACCGCUCCACUUCAUCGACGUCCCCGACAACGUCUGCAGCUACUACUACGAUAGGGACUGCAAGGACGAGGAGGGCGUCAAGGGUCGCCGUGUCGCCGGCGUCAUCAACAAUUACACCUCCCAGCUCCUCACCUACGGAUCAUCAUCGCAAUCGCCAUAUUGCAAAUCUUCCUGCCAAUAUAACCUGACAGAAGCGCUCUUGUUCCUCUCACCCUUCAUGGGCGACAUCCACAGAUAG
Molecule: ribosomal RNA, 384 nt
Filed under: Triticum aestivum (bread wheat)
Lineage: Eukaryota; Viridiplantae; Streptophyta; Magnoliopsida; Poales; Poaceae
Description: partial small subunit ribosomal RNA
Source: RNAcentral